Non-coding RNA from Pelobates cultripes (western spadefoot toad), 212 nucleotides. NCBI's taxonomy places the organism in Eukaryota, Metazoa, Chordata, Amphibia, Anura, Pelobatidae. The record is from the annotation of a GenBank genome assembly.
CUGAUAAGCAAGCAUAAUGUGUAAAGGAGAGUUGGGUAUCUAUGAACACAAUAAGAAUGGGAGCAUCUGGACCUGCACUCAGUGUGAGUGUGCAAGUAUGUGUGCCUUGGGAAAGUUAUCAAAGAGCAUGCACUUAGGUGCCAGUGUCUGUCCGUGUGUGGAUAGGUCUAAGAGUAUGUGUGGGUGUCUGUGAUUUUGUGCUUGGUACUAAU